AAAAUGAUCCCAAUGAUGAUGUCUGAUAACUCAUUAUAGAUACCAGAAUUAAAAUUUUAUAGUAACAUUAUCUGAACUGGUGAAAAAACAAACUAUGUGUAGAAAGUCUGUCAAUUUUAUAUACAUGUUUGAAGCUUUAUUAGUCUAAACCUGUAUGCAUCUUAAAUGAUUGCCUAAGAUAUGUAUGGUGCCAUACUUUCUUUUUUGUGCAUACAAAUAUCAUCUACUAUUGGUAAAAAAUUCAAAAUGUUUGAAUUUAUCAUUGAGAUUUUUGGAAGAAGGGACAAACAAGUGAAAUUAAUUAUUGCCAUAUUAGGAAAAUCUCCAAAUAUGCAUUAAAUAUAAGAUUGCAAGUCUUGCCUUGUGAUAACCACCCAGUUGCAUAAUUCACAUUUUUAAACCAAUGCAAUAAUUUAUGAAUUUACAGUAUUUUUUUUCAAUUUGCAAAAAGCUUGGUUCAGAUUUUCUUUAAAAUUGCAAACUAAAUAAAGGAUGUUUCUACCAUAUUUUAAAUGAGUGGGUGCUACUUCUGCAUCUGUAAAUAAAAAGACCCUAUCAUUCCCUGUACUCCGUUACUGUGUGUGUGUGUGUAUUGUUUAUUGUUAAAAUACAUAAAAAUAAGGAAAAAGGGGGGAAGGAAAUUAUGUUGGACAAGGUUUGUGAUAUUUUUUAUUAUUGUAAUGAAUUAAUGAAAUGAAUAGUGUAUAUAAUUUAUAAUUAUUGUUGUAUUGUUAUAUAUUUUAAUUAAAUUUAUAUAAAAAAAGAUAUAAUUAGAAAAUUGGUAAUGAAUUAAAAUAAAAUGAAACAGACAUAUGUAUGUGUUAUUUCAAUUCUAGUAUUGAGACUUUAUAUCAAGCCAUAUUUAUU
This 867-nucleotide long non-coding RNA is filed under the name Mytilus galloprovincialis (Mediterranean mussel). The record is from RNAcentral. Lineage: Eukaryota; Metazoa; Mollusca; Bivalvia; Mytilida; Mytilidae.